Molecule: ribosomal RNA, 478 nt
Filed under: uncultured bacterium
Lineage: Bacteria
Description: partial 16S ribosomal RNA
Rfam family: Bacterial small subunit ribosomal RNA
Source: RNAcentral
GAUGAACGCUGGCGGCGUGCUUAACACAUGCCAGUCGAACGAGCAGUGAAGACGGCAACCUUCGGGCGGAAGGCUUUAUUUCGACUGGCGGACGGGUGAGUAACGCGUGGGUAACCUGCCUCAUCCAGGGGGAUAACAGUUGGAAACGACUGUUAAUACCGCAUAAGAUCACAGCACCGCAUGGUGCGGGGGUAAAAACUCCGGUGGUAUGAGACGGACCCGCGUUCGAUUCGCCAGUUGGCGGGGUAACGGCCCACCAAAGCGACGAUCGAUGGCCGAUCAGAGAGGAUGACCGGCCACAUUGAGACUGAGACACAGCCCAAACUCGUACGGGAAGCAGCAGUGGGGAAUAAUGCACAAUGGGGGAAACCCUGAUGCAGCGACGCCACGUGAGUGAAGAAGUAUUUCGGUAUGUAAAGCGCGAGCAGCAGGGAAGAAAAUGACGGUACCUGAGGAAGAGACCACGGCUAACUACGGG